Molecule: ribosomal RNA, 253 nt
Filed under: uncultured bacterium
Lineage: Bacteria
Description: partial 16S ribosomal RNA
Rfam family: Bacterial small subunit ribosomal RNA
Source: RNAcentral
UACGAAGGGGGCUAGCGUUGCUCGGAAUCACUGGGCGUAAAGCGCACGUAGGCGGACUCUUAAGUCGGUGGUGAAAUCCUGGAGCUCAACUCCAGAACUGCCUUCGAUACUGAGAGUCUUGAGUCCGGGAGAGGUGAGUAGAACUGCGAGUGUAGAGGUGAAAUUCGUAGAUAUUCGCAAGAACACCAGUGGCGAAGGCGGCUCACUGGCCCGGUACUGACGCUGAGGUGCGAAAGCGUGGGGAGCAAACAGG